Molecule: long non-coding RNA, 444 nt
Filed under: Carica papaya (papaya)
Lineage: Eukaryota; Viridiplantae; Streptophyta; Magnoliopsida; Brassicales; Caricaceae
Description: long non-coding RNA (CPAP_LNC012395)
Source: RNAcentral
UGCUGCAGCCUAGCCUGUAGGCGCACAGGCUUGCUGCCACAUGCGCAGGAUCUUGGCGUACUAGGCGUCGCGCACACAGGCCCCAGGCGCAUAGGGCCUGUCCGCGCAUGCUUGUAGCGAACGACAUGCGCACAGUGUGCGACACCAGUUCGUGUGCAAAGUGAUGUAUGGACGUCCCGCUUGCAUGUGACAAGAUGUGCGCGCAGGUCUUGACCCCACGUCAUGCGCGCUGUGCGCAUGUCUUAUGCGUGCAUGCGAAGGGGAUGUGCACGCUGUGCGCACGUCCCGUGCGUGCUGGCGUAUGGGUGGGACAUCCACGCUAUGCGCACACCCUGCAACCACUAUGCGCGCAUGCGCGAGCACAUAGUGCCCAGCAUCUGUGCAGGCAAACUUGUUUUCCCGCGAGAUUUUUCUCUAAGAGCUGGUUUUCUCCCGUUUCACCAU